Molecule: ribosomal RNA, 442 nt
Filed under: uncultured bacterium
Lineage: Bacteria
Description: partial 16S ribosomal RNA
Rfam family: Bacterial small subunit ribosomal RNA
Source: RNAcentral
CCUACGGGUGGCUGCAGUGAGGAAUCUUCCACAAUGGGCGAAAGCCUGAUGGAGCAACGCCGCGUGAAGGAUGAAGGCCCUCGGGUUGUAAACUUCUUUUAUGAGUGAAGAAUAUGACGGUAACUCAUGAAUAAGCACCGGCUAACUACGUGCCAGCAGCCGCGGUCAUACGUAGGGUGCAAGCAUUAUCCGGAGUGACUGGGCGUAAAGAGUUGCGUAGGUGGUUUGUUAAGUGAAUAGUGAAAUCUGGCGGCUCAACCGUACAGGCUAUUAUUCAAACUGGCAAACUCGAGAAUGGUAGAGGUAACUGGAAUUUCUUGUGUAGGAGUGAAAUCCGUAGAUAUAAGAAGGAACACCAAUGGCGUAGGCAGGUUACUGGACCAUUUCUGACACUGAGGCACGAAAGCGUGGGGAGCGAACCGGAUUAGAUACCCGGGUAGUC